UGUGGCUUUGCCCGCUUUAAAAAGACGGCGAAUAAGGGGAGGGCAAGUCGGGUGUCAGCCGCCGCGGUAAUACCCGCUCCCCGAGUGGUGGAGGCUAUUACUGGGCCUAAAGCGCCCGUAGCCGGCCCGGUGUGUCCCUCGUUAAAUCCACGGGCUUAAACCCGUGGGCUGCGGGGGAUACUACCGGGCUUGGGGGUGGGAGAGGCGCCCGGUAUUCCCGGGGUAGGGGUAAAAUCCUCUGAUCCCGGGAGGACCAUCAGUGGCGAAGGCGGGGCGCCAGAACACGCCCGACGGUGAGGGGCGAAAGCUGGGGGAGCAAACGGGAUUAGAUACCCCGGUAGUCCCAGCUGUAAACGAUGCGGGCUAGCUGUCGGGGCGGCUACGGGCCGCCCCGGUGGCGAAGGGAAGCCAUUAAGCCCGCCGCCCGGGGAGUACGGCCGCAAGGCUGAAACUUAAAGGAAUUGGCGGGGGAGCACCACAAGGGGUGGACGUUGCGGCUUAAUCGGAUUCAACGCCGGAAACCUUACCGGGGCUGACGGCAGGAUGAAGGUCGGGCUGACGACCCUACCUGACGAGCCGAGAGGAGGUGCAUGGCCGUCGCCGGUGCGUGCCGUGAGGUGUCCUGUUAAGUCAGGCAACGGACGAGACCCGCGCCCCCAGUUGCCAGCGGCCGAGAGGCGCCGGGCACUCUGGGGGGACUGCCCCCGAAAGGGGGAGGAAGGAGCGGGCUACGGCAGGUCGGUAUGCCCCGAAUGCCCCGGGCCGCACGCGACGUUCAAUGGCGGGGACAGCGGGAUGCGACCCCGAAAGGGGGAGCCAAUCCCUAAACCCCGCCUCAGUAGGGAUCGAGGGUUGCAACUCGCCCUCGUGAACGCGGAAUCCCUAGUAACCGCGCGUUAACACCGCGCGGUGAAUACGUCCCCGCUCCUUGCACACACCGCCCGUCA
This 947-nucleotide ribosomal RNA is filed under the name uncultured crenarchaeote. RNAcentral's name for it is "bacterial SSU rRNA". It matches the Rfam family "Archaeal small subunit ribosomal RNA", at positions 402 to 1355 of the family's 1478-position model. Lineage: Archaea; Thermoproteati; Thermoproteota. The record is from RNAcentral.